CGUCCUGGUGCGGAGCUCGAUGCGGCUGUGGCUGCCCUGGGGCCUGCUGGGCCUCAUGCUGGGCGGCUCCCUCCUGAAGGCGCUGGCGCCGCUGCCCGACUCCUACCUGAGCAGCAAGCGCAACCUGCUCAACAUUUGCUAUGGGGAUGUAAAUCCAUUGUGGAUUGGAGGGCAGGAGAGCCCAGAUACUCCAGACACUCGUGAAGAGGGAGGGAUGUGUCCACAAGACAAUCUAUUUGGCGGUCACUUGAAAGCUUAAGAACCCUUGUUCUCCAGGUUUCUAGAUUAGAUGCUGUGGUGUUGGGUGCUGUGUAAAUAACCAAGGUAAACAGUUGUGAGUGAUGUAAUUUAGAAACCUCUUCCAUGUAUACCCCUAAUUCCUACCCCUUCCUUGUUGUCUCGAAGGUUAAUAUAUUUAUACGUUUCCUUUGGCUUCUCCCUGGCAGCUAUUUUGUCAAACUGGCCUGGGCCUGGACGUUCUGGCUGCUGCUACCCUUCAUUGCCAUCACCAACUACUAUCUCAGCCGAAAUGUCCUGGGGGUGCUGCGGCGUCUCGGCACCUUGCUGGUGGGCACCGUGGUCUGGUACGUCUGCACUAGUCUCUUCUUGCGCAUAGAGGAUUUCACUGGCAACUGCUACAAAUCGCCAGCACUUGAUGUGCUGUUCCAGGAGCACCCCAGCAAGUGGCAAUGCCGCCAGGGUGGUGGCUUCUGGAAUGGCUUCGACAUCUCAGGGCACUCCUUCCUCCUAACAUACUGUGCCCUGAUGAUUGUGGAGGAGAUGGCUGUGCUGCACGUCCUGAACACUGACCGGAGCCCAAGAUUACAUGUAGUGGUCAAUGCCCUGUUCGUUGCCUUGAGCUUUCUGACCCUGAUCUGGGUCUGGAUGUUUUUUUGCACUGCUGUAUAUUUCCAUGACUUCUCCCAAAAAUUGUUCGGCACCCUAGUGGGUCUGUCAGCCUGGUAUGGAACAUACAGGUUCUGGUACUUGAAAUCCUUUUCUCCUGGACUUCCUCCCCAAAACGCUAGCUUGAGUUCAAAGAAGCCUAAUUGUAGCAGAUAAAAAUUUCUGUAAUUCAGAUUUUGUUUUAAAUACAGGAAUAUUAGUUUGUCCAAUGCUCCUUUUUUUUUUUUUUUUUUUUUUUGAAAAGAGCAUAUUUAAGGGGAUGGGAAGAAAGGCCAAUAGUCUUUACAGCCUGAUGCCUGGCUUGUGGCUAUGGUCCAGUUCCUGGUGAGCAAAUGUUGAUAUCACAGAACUGCCUACCAUGAUUGGGUGUAAUUGGCUACCUAACUGAAAUCUGAGCAAAGAGGCCAAGGGUUGGAUCCAGCCUGGAGACUGAAUUCUCUUCUCCCUUUCUGGGGGUCCUGCUGGGGCAAGCUUGAGGCCCAUUGGCAAGGUGAUGUAAAGAAAGCCUGCACUGCUACUACCUAUGCUCUCUCUACCUGUUCUGUCAAUAAACAGAGGAUCCAGGAUUGGCAGAGAUCUUCAGUCUUUAGGGCUGUCAACCCAACACCUUUCACUGAUCUGAAAUUCAUCAUUCUCUUUCCCACCCCCAUCAUCUUUUUUUAAGAUAAAAUAUUUCACAUGGUCCAAACCUUGUGCUCGGUUUUAAUUUCUGACUUUUUGAAUACUCUAGUUGUGAUCUUUACAAAUGUGCCUGGGGCAGUGUAAUGGUGCUAACUAUUGCAGCAGACUUUUAAUUGGCAAUCAAAAUGCACUUAUUAAAGCAGAAUGUAGCUGGGUUGUGAAACCGGAGCACCUCACAUUCUCAGACUGUUAAAUACUUUCACUUCCCAUAAAUUUUAAUUGGCCAUCUGUAUAUUCAGCAGCAAGAAGAGAGGCUUUUUGCGACCCAGAGCCUAAUGUUAGGUCACAGCUUUAAAUUGACUCCUCCUCUCAAUCUUUGAAAAUGAAAUUCCUAAAAAAUAAGUUUUAUUGCUUCAGAUGAUGAUAAAAAAUUCAAUUUGCUCCUUUAUUCUUAACACUAAUUGUAAAAAUAGCAAGAUGGUAUGUUUUGUUAAAAUGUAAUAAUAAGAUGACUCCUCCCAGUUCUCUGUUAAUUGGCUUGUACAAAAAUGUUAAUGAUUUAAAAGAUUUUUUUUUCAGAUGUUAUAAGUUGCAAAUUUUGUAUUUGCAAUAAAAAAGCUCUGUUUGAUGUGUUCCUUUCAGACGGACGCCCAGCGGAUUUCUGGCCUCAUGUAACAAGUGCACUGGCUGGACCCAUUAUAUCUUGAAUCAUUCUCUUUGUUAGGGGUUGUACGUAAUAUAGCGUUUCUGCCAAGGGUACUAUAGCAAUAUGCUUAAAGAAAUACUUAUUCUUAUCUUUUUGUUGGCAUCAAUAAGCUAUUUUAACUGCAUACUAAGUUGUGGCAAAAAGUGGUAGCCAGUAAAACCCUAUUAUGAUGUACAAAUUGGGAUGUCUAUGUUCUGUCCUUCAUGUGAGAUGGACAUUUAGCAUAAUUUUUAGUUUAAAAAUUUUAUCUGUUUUACAAAAGCCUUAUUCAUGUCAUGAGUAGACAAACCAAAAUCAGUUUCACAACAGUACUAGUGAGUCGAGCAGGCUAUCAAAAGCUUUUGGUAGCUCAUCUGUAUGUCUUCUAAACUUAACUAGUUCUAGUAGCACAGUGAUGGACCUAAUUUUCUACAUCACUUGAUUUUGAGUUGUGUUUUGCUGCCUUUAGGACAAGGGGUUCCAUACCCUGAUCUUAAUAUGCUCAUGUUGCCACCUUAACACUUCUUUCCUAGCCAGAGAGGGAGACCGUCCUGCAAAUACAAACAGGUUAAUUUCUCAUUUGGGGCCUGAUCCUUUGAAAUGCUGACUUCCCUCUGUUCCCAUUGAAUCAAGUGAUGGUUGAGGGUCCUCGGGAGCUCCCAGAAGGCACAAAGCAGAUCUCAGGAUCAGGCUGUCUCAUGAGAUUCCUGUGAGUAGGUGAAAAAUACAGCUUUGUGUUUUGGGUUGUUCUUUGGGUAUGUCUACGCUUUGAGCCAGAGGUAUAAUGUUCAGCUCAAGGAGACAUACCUGCACUAGCUCUGUUCAAGUUAUCACACUAAAAAGUGUAGGCAUGGUGGCAGGAGGUGGCAGCCACCCUGAGUACAAUGCUGUCCAAGCCUCUCUAAGAACAUACUCAGGUGGCUCGCUCAACAUGCUGCCACGGCUACACGGCAAUCUGAGAUAAUCUCUUCAAGCUGGAAAUUACAGCUCCAGUUCGAAUUGUAGUCAGAUCCAUUAUGUCGAACCACCUUUCAGCUGCUUUACUGGACACCUUGUCUACAUGAGAAAGUUGCAUCAGUUUAAUUUAAAUCAGCAUUUAGACUGAUAGGGUUUCACAUUAGUUUAACUAUUUGGUUUAGCUUAAACCUGUUCCCAGUAGAUUUAAACAAAACUGCUAAAAGCCCAGACUCCUGGGCGCAGACACCCCAAGAUCCCACUCUUUCCUGAACUGAUAUUUAUACUCCUUUAUAUUGACAUGAGAGGCCACACACUGGUUAUAUCAGUUUUACUGUAUCUGUUUAAAUUAUGCCGGUGCCACGUUCCCAUGUAGAUAAGGCCUGAGUAGAACCCCAGUAUUAUUAAAAACUAUGCAGUUAAACUGACAGGCUUUUAAAGCUUAAGUUAAAAUUAGCUUCGCCUCUGGAAAACACUGUUUUUGUGCAAUCUGUUUACAAAUACUUCCAUUCACCUAACCAGUGUGUCAUAGUAACUGUUUAUUAUGAUUAUUAAAAUUAAUAGCAUAGGAUAUGAAAAUGCUUGAAACUUUACUGUAACCUCAAUGCUAGUAUGUUAGACAAAUGUAACUGAUCAAAUUCACCUAGAGGACUUACAAGGGGUUGUGUGGUUGAGGUUCAAUUUCUGGAGCCUCUAAAGAUAAAUUAAGGGCCUGCUGCUGCUACUUGUGCCCAUGUAGUUAAUGGGACUACUUGCAUGAGUAAAGACUACUCUGGUGAGUAAGUAUUGCAGGAUGAGACUUUUAAGUUUGUCAUUGAGAAUUCCUAUGGUAUUUGGACACUUCGGUAGGGCCCAAAUUUUCGAAAAUAUGAGGCACGAAAGUGUAUGAGCAAAACAGGUGUUCUAACGUGUGUCCACUGUGCAGACUGAUUGUGUAAUUGUCUACACAUAAAUACCCAUCUGAGCAAACUAUCUUAGUAAUACACCUGCGCUUUGUGCUCCUAGAGUGAAAACUUUGCCCCAUUGAAGUCAAUGGCAAAACUCCCACUGUGUGGCCUGGAUUUCGUUCCUAAUGUGUUUGAAAAUCUCGGGGGUAGGUGUCCAGCCUCAGUACAGAGGCCACACGUUUACCAUUGACUCGGAGAGUUUGCUUGCUGCGUUCAGACAUUGGAACUUUUGUGCCUUUUGAUCCUACCACAGGCAGAUGAUCUCGUCCUUUUCGUUUUCAAUGUUAAUCUAAUAGCUGUCUGAGGAAUUCAACGGCAGGAAAUCUUCUCUCCAUGUGUAUUUUUUUCUCUUUAUUUGGGGGGGGCGGGCAGUUUAUAUUUACCACUGGAAUGAAAAUCCAGUCCCUCCACAUCAAGGGUAAAUUUGCAGCAGAGAAGAAAACUCCACUCUAAACAGCUGGAUUUGGUGUGGAUUGUUGCCAAGUGGACAGAUCUUUUCUUUGAACUUGCUGGAAAUACAUCUGGAAUUUGCAUGAGUUUUAAAAACUAAAACCUGGAAAAAGUAUUUGAGAGGACAGUAUUCAAAUCUUGCAGUGGAUGGUGAUAUGAAGCAAUUGUAAUCAUGAAAUUAUAACUCAUAACAGCCUUGUUUGACUUCCUGAAUUAAAGUCUCUUGCCUACGUUCA
Molecule: RNA transcript, 4799 nt
Organism: Chelonia mydas (Green sea turtle)
Lineage: Eukaryota; Metazoa; Chordata; Testudines; Cheloniidae
Gene: FITM2
Gene name: fat storage inducing transmembrane protein 2
Exons: 2
Source: RefSeq, a predicted model, not a curated record